AUUGAACGCUGGCGGCAGGCCUAACACAUGCAAGUCGAACGAGUGGCGGACGGGUGAGUAAUGUCUGGGAAACUGCCUGAUGGAGGGGGAUAACUACUGGAAACGGUAGCUAAUACCGCAUACCAUUCGCUGUGCCCAGAUGGGUUUAGCUUGUCGGUGGGGUAACGGCUCACCAAGGCGACGCUCCCUAGCUGGUCUGAGAGGAUGACCAGCCACACUGGAACUGAGACACGGGCCAGACUCCUACGGGAGGCAGCAGUGGGGAAUAUGGCGCAAUGGGCGCAAGCCUGAUGCAGCCAUGCCGCGUGUAUGAAGAAGGCCUUCGGGUUGUAAAGUACUUUCAGCGGGGAGGCGUUACCCGCAGAAGAAGCACCGGCUAACUCCGUGCCAGCAGCCGCGGUAAUUC
RNAcentral lists this ribosomal RNA (406 nucleotides) under uncultured bacterium. RNAcentral describes it as "partial 16S ribosomal RNA". It matches the Rfam family "Bacterial small subunit ribosomal RNA", at positions 30 to 526 of the family's 1533-position model. The record is from RNAcentral.